UUUGUAGAGGAUGCUUUUGGUGAGGUGCCUUCCGAGUUCCCUGGAACGGGACGCCAUANAGGGUGAGAGCCCCGUCUGGNUGGACACCGAUCCUCUGUNNAGCUCCUUCNACNAGUCNAGNANUUNGGGAAUGCUGCUCUNNAUGGGAGGNAUAUGUCUUCUAAAGCUAAAUACCGGCCAGAGACCGAUAGCGCACAAGUAGAGUGAUCGAAAGAUGAAAAGAACUUUGAAAAGAGAGUUAAAAAGUACGUGAAAUUGUUGAAAGGGAAGCGCUUGUGACCAGACUUGGGCUUGGUUGAUCAUCCGGGGUUCUCCCCGGUGCACUCUUCCGGCUCAGGCCAGCAUCAGUUCGCCCUGGGGGAUAAAGGCUUCGGGAAUGUGGCUCUCUCCGGGGAGUGUUAUAGCCCGCUGCGUAAUACCCUGUGGCGGACUGAGGUUCGCGCAUUCNCAAGGAUGCUGGCGUAAUGGUCAUCAGUGACCCGUCUUGAAACACGGACCAAGGAGUCGUCUUCGUAUGCGAGUGUUCGGGUGUCAAACCCCUACGCGAAAUGAAAGUGAACGCAGGUGAGAGNUUCGGCGCAUCAUCGACCGAUCCUGAUGUUUUCGGAUGGAUUUGAGUAAGAGCAUACGGGGCCGGACCCGAAAGAAGGUGAACUAUGCCUGUGUAGGGUGAAGCCAGAGGAAACUCUGGUGGAGGCUCGCAGCGGUUNCGACGUGCAAAUCGAUCGUCAAACAUGGGCAUGGGGGNGAAAGACUAAUCGAACCUUCUAGUAGCUGGUUUCCGCCGAAGUUUCCCUCAGGAUAGCAGUGUUGAACUCAGUUUUAUGAGGUAAAGCGAAUGACUAGGGACUCGGGGGCGCUAUUUAGCCUUCANCCAUUCUCAAACUUUAAAUAUGUAAGAAGCCCUUGGUUCUUAAUUGAACGUGGGCAUUNGAAUGAAUCANCUCUAGUGGNCCAUUUUUGGUAAGCAGANCNGNNGAUUCGGGAUGAACCGAACGNGAGGNUAAGGUNCCAGAGUAGNCGCUCAUCACACNCCCCAAAAGGUGUUAGUNCAUCUUGACAGCAGGGAGCGGNCCAUGGAAGUCCGAAUCCGNUAAGGACNGUGUAACANCUCNCCUNCCGAAUGUACUAGCCCUGAAAAGGGAUGGCGNUCAAGCGUCUCACCCAUACCUCGCCCUCAGGGUAGANACGAUNCCUUGAGGAGUAGNCGGACGUGGAGGUCAGUG
This 1226-nucleotide ribosomal RNA is filed under the name Fusarium solani. Its description in RNAcentral is "partial 28S ribosomal RNA". It matches the Rfam family "Eukaryotic large subunit ribosomal RNA", at positions 149 to 1402 of the family's 3401-position model. The record is from RNAcentral. Lineage: Eukaryota; Fungi; Ascomycota; Sordariomycetes; Hypocreales; Nectriaceae.